Molecule: long non-coding RNA, 1115 nt
Organism: Paramisgurnus dabryanus
Lineage: Eukaryota; Metazoa; Chordata; Actinopteri; Cypriniformes; Cobitidae
Source: RefSeq, a predicted model, not a curated record
UCACCAGAACUGCAAUAAAAAUGAUUGUGUGUAAGUAACUGUAUUCAUAAUUCUAUAUUAUUACUAUAAGUAUCAGAUAGUUAAGGUUUUUGAAAUGUGUCAAGUUUUUUAAAAAAAAUUACUUUUAAUUUGGCACAUGCAAAUAAAUCUCAGGGUAGAGGACAAUGUUUCUUACUGCUGAUAUUUUUCAUCUUUGUAAAAUGGGAGAUCGUUAAUUGUGAGUGUUUAUGUAAGUUUGAUUGGCUGUUUGUUUUUAUUCCACUGAGAAUCUCACAUCCAUCCACACUAAACCAAUCUGUGCAUGGGUUUAUAUAUCUACAUUGUCCUCGGGCAAAGACAAUCUUCAAAUGAUAGAUUAUUAAUUGUGUAUCUACAUUGUGUCUGUGGUUUGUGUGUGUCAGUAGAGUAACCACACCGUGCUUUCUCACGUUCUGUUUACAGCUGUGAUGAGUUUCGGACAACCCAUUCACUGACAUUCAACCUCUACAGCCCAGAAAGGAGAGAGAUACAAAGAGAGAGAGAGCACUUCAAUCUUACUGCGAGUGUUAAUGGGGAGGAGUAGCCGAUUCUACAGCCAUGAGCUAAACACACCAACUCAGCGCUCAACUCUAAGACAUGAGCCAGUGGAAGAUAACCGAUGGUCUGACUGGUUAUCAAGGAAACACUCAUAAAUACAUGAUAUCCCUUAUGUACACACAGCAGUAAAGAUCACGGGAUGUGUGCGUGUGUGUGUUCGUACCCGAGGUUGGGAAUCCUCUCUGACAUCCCAGUGAUUCCCGCAAUAAUGUUACUGUGGGAUAUCAUGACUCCUUUCGGAAUUCCAGUGGAUCCGCUUGUGUACAUUAUCACGGCAACAUCAGAUGCACACGGGGCUCGUCUCUGCUUUGACGCUGCAGAAAGAGCAAAAGUGACGGAGAAACAUUUAUUAAAAACUUUUUGGAAUGUAAUGAGCAUUGUUUAGUAAUCAUUUCUUGGUGAUGACAACCAAAAGCUAAACGUAAGUUCCGAUAUCUGAUUAUACAGUGCCUAAGAAGAGACUUUCCUGGGAAAGAGUCUUAUUAUUACUGUAGUUGAACCAGUAUUAUAUGAAACACUUGACAUUUAAACUGUAAUAA